AUUGCCAAUUUUUAUCUAAAUAAAUACCAAGUUGUACAAGAAUUUCACAGAAAUGCGAGCAAGAGCUUACGUGCUCGCAGUUAACAGAAAAUACGACUGUCAUGGCGUCCUUCGCCCACCCUGCAGGAACUUACGCGUAAAAAUGGACGUGAUGGUGUAAAGAAUUAACAUUUUCCAAUCUAUAAUGUUAUAAACUAUGGUAACUAACGUAUGUACAUAUGUUUUAUAUUGCCCCACAUUAUAUAUUAUUAAUAAAUACUUUUUAGAUAUUUUGAAUGGUUGAAAGUAAACAAAUGAGUUUUUUGUUAUGUUAUUUCAUGUUUGAACUAACGUUACUUUUGUUUUAGAAUUUUUAAUGGCGUUUCUUAUUUAUUAACCAAUAAUGCAUAAACAAAAUAGUGCAUGAAGGAAACCAGGUUCUCUACAUGUAUGAAACAAUGUAGGAUAAUACCGUAUUUUUUUUUUUUUUAAGUUCAACUUAAAUUUUUAUUUCGCGGAAGUCGUGGGUAAUGACUCACGUCUAGUGACUUUAAAGGAAUUCACAAAAAAGCAUAUUUCUCGGACGAGUUUUCGUUUAUGGCCGAUGUACAUACACGAUGCAACAAAAGCGUUCGUGAAAAGCGUUCGAAGCUCGCAUCUCGAAACUUCCAUGCAUGGAUGUGUUGACACGGUUCGAGAUAUAAAUCGGAUGUACCUAUGUAUUUCAUUCGAGUUUAAUGCCACACGUUAAUCACGCACGAGAAACUCGGUAACUAAUAAACAAAUUUGAACUCGGGUCGAGUUCGUUCGCGCUAACAUGCGUGCACGCACGUAAACAUAUGUCCCAAAAGCGGCCAAGCUAAAAACUAAUAACUGUGCAUAAAGGCUGGUUCAGACACGGCUAGUAAUUUAGUCGAGUGGGGAGUAGCUAUUUACUACUAAACCGUUUAGCGCAUAGAAAAGUGUCAGGACUAGUACAGUUGAUCUUUGGAAAUCGAGAGUACAGUCUUGAUCCGUAAUAAGCAACAGUUUUUUGGCUCGAAGUAAGCAAAUCUCUAUCCCCUCUUCUUUGUUUGAAGUCGCCCGCAAAGUGAGAGGCCCGAGAAAUGAGUGAGAGGUUCGUGAAAGCGAGAAGCCGAUGUUUUGGGUAAUAAAUUGUCACGCUUGACUGAGCAGUGACAUCGGUUAGUAGAAGAAGGAUGGAAUAUAUAUAAUGCUUUCCCAGUCUAGCAUAUUUGCCUUGAAAUAAGCGAAAUAGUGCGAGAAUGAGAGGGCAUGCUAUAUUCUAUCCUUGUUCAAAAAAUAACAUCCUUGCUCGGCCGAUCACUUUGAUUUGCCACUAACUCGGAUGUCUCACUCGUUUCUCGUGUUAUUUAUCGUCCCGUUUCGAGAACAAAGUCGAGCCGAAUAGCAUACCUGAUCCGUAAUAAGCAAGUGGCCAGACCCGAAUGUGUUGUUUAUUACGAGGCAAUCCUGUACAAGAUAUAUCGCUUGACUAAAGAAAUGGGUCCGGACCAGUGAUGUCAGAAUCGUGGGACGUGGGACAAAUUUUUACCCUCUCCACAUCGUCCCAGUGACUCCCCUACUUCAGUUGUUUCAUCUAACACAAGCGUGUUGUCCCACGUGUCCGUGUGAGCUCUCCGUUCGGCUGCUCUCGUCAUCUCUUCGUUAUCGGCUCGAUGCUGAAGCCGCCUAAGCAUGUGGCAGCAGCAUCGACGAAUCGAUAAAAUAAUAUAAUUUCGUCCAUAGCACUAUGGUAGAAGUGAGAAACCAGGAGAUUCAGUUCGAAUCCCGAUUCUACGGUUUCAGUUCUGAUUCUUAAUGCAUUAACAUUUUUUUAAUACAUAAAAAUACAUUUUUAAUACAUUAAUACUGUGAAAUACAUUGACUUGGGAA
Osmia lignaria (orchard mason bee) is the source of this 1875-nucleotide non-coding RNA. NCBI's taxonomy places the organism in Eukaryota, Metazoa, Arthropoda, Insecta, Hymenoptera, Megachilidae. The record is from RefSeq and is a predicted model, not a curated record.